CCUACGGGAGGCAGCAGUGGGGAAUAUUGCACAAUGGGGGAAACCCUGAUGCAGCGACGCCGCGUGAGUGAAGAAGUACUUCGUUAUGUAAAGCUCUAUCAGCAGGGAAGAAAAUGACGGUACCUGAGUAAGAAGCCCCGGCUAACUACGUGCCAGCAACCGCUGUAAUACGUAGGGGGCAAGCGGUAUCCGGAUUUACUGGGUGUAAAGGGAGCGUAGACGGGAGUGCAAGUUUGGUGGGAAAGGCGGGGGCUCAAACCCCGGAUUGCUGUGGAAACUGUACGGCUGGAGUGCAGGAGAGGUAAGUGGAAUUCCUGGUGUAGCGGUGAAAUGCGUAGAUAUUAGGAAGAACACCAGUGGCGAAGGCAGCUUACUGGACUGUAACUGACGUUGAGGCACGAAAGCGUGGGGAGCGAACAGGAUUAGAUACCCGAGUAGUC
Molecule: ribosomal RNA, 440 nt
Filed under: uncultured bacterium
Lineage: Bacteria
Description: partial 16S ribosomal RNA
Rfam family: Bacterial small subunit ribosomal RNA
Source: RNAcentral